UACGAGAACUGUGGGAGGCAGUUAUUGUGCCCGCUAGCUUACUUUGGGUGGGACAUUUGAUCAAAUGGGUGGCUUGCACGAUAUAUUUCUACAAUUGCAAAGAGCAAAGUCUGGAGAUUGUUGAAGAGAACGUGGAAGCAAAAGCAGAAACUACUGAUGGAGAAACACCACUUACUAGCAGAAGAAACCAGAAGCAGAAUCUCUUGAUGUUUAGACUACUUCACUGGUUUUCUCAUUUUAAUUAUUAAGAUGUUUUGUUCUGAUGGAUAUGUUUCCAAAAGAGACAUUGACGAUUGCUCUCAUUUAUCUCCAUUGCUCCAUGUAAAGUGUAGUCACAAAAUCUGCUAUACAUUCAUUACCGUCAUGUGAAAAUUUCAUUUGUUAGUCAUUUGUUUCCCUUCUCCUUGUCAAAAAUAAAUAAAUACCCCAAACCAAAUUCCAAAC
Molecule: long non-coding RNA, 444 nt
Filed under: Actinidia chinensis (golden kiwifruit)
Lineage: Eukaryota; Viridiplantae; Streptophyta; Magnoliopsida; Ericales; Actinidiaceae
Description: long non-coding RNA (ACHI_LNC006114)
Source: RNAcentral